This is a non-coding RNA of Podarcis lilfordi (Lilford's wall lizard), 3265 nucleotides long. Lineage: Eukaryota; Metazoa; Chordata; Lepidosauria; Squamata; Lacertidae. The record is from the annotation of a GenBank genome assembly.
GCUAGCAGUUCCUGAUUGACAGCAUGUGUGUGGGAGGGAAACGGCACACAAUAUGGUCCCAAACUGCACUCUUUGUCUUUAUCCUCCUCUUCAAGGUGGAGGUGGAGUUGUCACUUCUUAUUUUGACUGAUUUCCAGUUCGCAGAACGGAGGGGAGGGAAUUAUGGGACAAUGAAGUACCUGAAAGCACUUUCCACAUAAUGCAGAGUACUAAUUACAAGUCGAUGAUGGGACCUAAUUAAGGUUUGGAUCCAGGUGCUCUGGAUGUGCUAAGUGCAUGCUUUGAGUUUUGAGUUUCAGCCACGUUCGGUUCCAAGAUGAAUUUGGGGUAAUUUUUCUCUCUCCCGGAUUUUGGCUGGAAAGGCAGACUAGCCUGGAAAGGCAGGGAAAAUGAAAGGCAGAGGAUCCAAAUCUUCCAUAAAAGCACCAGAAGAGCCUUGCUGGAUCUAGCCAAUGGCCCAUCUGGUUUGGCAUUCCAUCCUCACAGUUUUCAAGCACAAUUCCUAUGGGAGGCCUGCAAGCAGGAGCUGAGCGCAGCAGCAACUCUCCUCCCUGUGAUUCCCAGGCAGCUAGCAAUUGGGGCAUCCCACCUCCAAUGAUGGAGGUAGCACUUGUGGCAGGUGCAGCCCUCACCUCCACUACUUACCCUGCAAUCCAGAUAAGGGGUAGUUAAGAACAUAAAAAGAGCUGCAAGCAGAUGAGAGUGGAAGAGGAGCCUUAGUGUCAAGGUGCUUCCCAGCCAAAGGAAUAGCAGAUAACUAUUGUCAAACCCGCAGGGAAGCGGGUGGCGCUGUGGUGUGAACCACUGAGCCUAGGGCUUGCCGAUCGGAAGGUCGGCGGUUCGAAUCCCCGCUAUGGAGUGAGCUCCCGUUGUUCGGUCCCUGCUCCUGCCAACCUAGCAGUUCGAAAGCACCUCAAAGUGCAAGUAGAUAAAUAGGUACCUUUCUGGCGGGAAGGUAAACGGUGUUUCCAUGCACUGCUCUGGUUCGCCAGAACUGGCCACAUGACCCGGAAGCUGUCUGCGGACAAACGCCAGCAACCCCAGAGUCGUCCACGACUGGACCUAAUGGUCAGGGGUACCUUUAUCUUUAUUGUCAAACACAGCCACUUCUACAGCUCUACAUAUCUACACACACCAAUCUAACAUCUUCUUGUGGCAGCAUUGCUCUUAAGAAGUUGGUGCAAAUUUUCCUUGCUGGUUCUUUCUGCUGGUAAUUCCUGGUCAAGUCAUUUAUGCACUUGACCGCAGCAGCUACGAUAAUAGGCACCGCUAAAGGCAUGGAGUUGGGCUGCUUGAUCUCAUCUGGAUCUCCGUAGAGAUGGCACCACCAUGGGAAAUAUGUGUUUGAUGAUAAUUUAUAUGCAAUUAUACUGUAAAAUAAUGUAUUUGGCUCUUCUGAUGAUACUGGUGAGAGUCUGCCCCAAAAGGCUGCAUGGAUUAAUAGUGUGUCACACAUCACAGUCCUCAGAUCUGUAUCUCACUUUGGUUGCAUGCACACCAUAUAUUAAAAAAAUUAAAAAAUUGUCCAUUGGCACCUUAUAGACCAUGGGUAGGCAAUCUAAGGCCCAGGGGCCAGAUCCGGGCCAAUCACCUUCUAAAUCUGACCCGUGGAAGGUCUGGGAAUCAGCAUGUUUUUACAUGAGUAGAAUGUGUCCUUUUAUUUAAAAUGCAUCUCUGGGUUAUUUGUGGGGCAUAGGAAUUGGUUCAUAUAUUUUUUUCAAAAUAUAGUCCGGCCCCCCACAAGGUCUGAGGGACAGUGGACCGGCCCCCUGCUGAAAAAGUUUGCUGACCUGACCCCUGUAAUAGACCAACUAAGUUUGUUCUGGGUAUUUUUAAUUUUUUUUAUUUCGACCGCAUCAGACCAACAAGGCUACCUACCUGAACAUAUAUUUAAAGCCUGGGAUAAUCCCGGGAACUGUAGUUUACCCUUCUCAGAGCUACAUUCCCUGCACCUUUUUAAAAAACUACAGUUCCCAGUAUUCUUAUGGGAAGUCAUGUGCUUUGCACAUGCUUUAAAUAUUUGGUGUGAACACAGUGAUGCUGUCCCUAUCUCCAAAAUGAGAGAGGUUUAGGGUCAAAGCAAGAGAUGCUGACACAACUUCCAACCAUCAGUUGCUUGGAGUAGGAAGCCUUUCUGUGAAGGUUUCCUUCCAAGUACCAACAAAGACUUGCUCUUAUUUAGCUUAUGAGAGCUGACGAUCCCAUAGCCUGAGGUUUUGUGGCUGCUGUGGAGAGCUCCACACAUGCAUGGAAGGGGACAGAUUGAGGUCACGUUGAUGAUAUUAGAGCUGACUUGCAUUUCCAGAAACUCAAAGGUCAAGUACUAAUUAUCAUCAUGGGUAGUAUAUAUGUUCUUGUCAUCUUUUGAGCUUUGCAGUUGCUAGUGUAGGUUCCCAAACUUAUCCUAGGAUGUAAAUGCCCAACAUGGAAGAGCGAUCUUCCUAUCUAAUCUGCUAGGACUUUUUAUUAACUUCUGUCAACAGUGUAAGGCAGCAGCAAGAAGAGUCAAUGCUAUUCUAGGCUGCAUGAACAGAAGUCUAGUGUCUAGAUCACGGGAAGUAACAGUACCGCUCUAUUCUGCCUUGGUCAGACCACACCUGGAAUACUGUGUCCAAUUCUGGGUGCCACAAUUUAAGAAGGAUAUUGACAAGCUGAAACGUGUGCAGAGGAGGGCGACCAAGAUGACCAAGGGUCUGGAAACGAAGCCAUAUGAAUAAUAGUUGAAGGAGUUGAGUAUGUUUAGCCUGGAAAAGAGGAGAUUGAGAGGAGAUACGAUAGCCAUAAUAUCUAAAGGGCUGUCACACACAAGAUGGAGCAGGUUUUCUCCUGUUCUGGAGGAUAGGACCCAAACCAAUGGAUUCAAGUUGCAAAAAUGGAAAUUACAACAAAACGUCAGGAAGAAAUUUCUGACAGUAAGAGCUAUUCAACAGUGGAACAGACUCCCUUGGGAGGUGGUGGGCUAUCCUUCCUUGGAGGUUUUUAAGCAGAGGUUGGAUGGCCAUCUGUCAUGGCUACUUUAGUUGGGAUUCCUUCCUUGCAGGCAGUUGAACUAGAUGACCCUUGGGGUCCUUUCCAACUAUGAUUCUGGAGAUUGCCCCAUGAUCCUUCUUAUGAUGGUCCAGGUAUCUGUGAUAUUACUGGAUGUGUGAUACUGUUCUCUUUUUCCACUAGACUGCAUGGCUUCUAAAUCUUUUGCCAAGGCAAAUGGGAUGAUAAAUGUCACUCCCUAGAGAAUUUGACCAGCUUGCCCUUUUCAUUAAAUUGG